This 254-nucleotide ribosomal RNA is filed under the name uncultured bacterium. RNAcentral's name for it is "partial 16S ribosomal RNA". It matches the Rfam family "Bacterial small subunit ribosomal RNA", at positions 524 to 776 of the family's 1533-position model. The record is from RNAcentral.
UACAGAGGGUGCAAGCGUUUGUUCGGAAUUACUGGGCGUAAAGCGUGCGUAGUCGGUAUUGAGAGUCGCGGGUGAAAUCCCAGGGCUUAACCCUGGAACUGCCUGCGAGACCUCAGUACUAGAGUGUGAGAGGGGAUAGUGGAAUACCAAGUGUAGCGGUGAAAUGCGUAGAGAUUUGGUGGAACACCGGUGGCGAAGGCGGCUCUCUAGUACGGUACUGACGCUGAGACGCGAAAGCGUGGGGAGCGAACAGG